RNAcentral lists this transfer RNA (70 nucleotides) under Otolemur garnettii (small-eared galago). It matches the Rfam family "tRNA". Rfam says of the family: Transfer RNA (tRNA) molecules are approximately 80 nucleotides in length. The record is from Rfam by way of RNAcentral. Lineage: Eukaryota; Metazoa; Chordata; Mammalia; Primates; Galagidae.
GGGCCUGUGGCUCAAUGGAGUAGGGCACUGGCCCCAUAUACCAGAGAUGGUGGGUUCAAACCCAGGCCCG